This 253-nucleotide ribosomal RNA is filed under the name uncultured bacterium. RNAcentral describes it as "partial 16S ribosomal RNA". It matches the Rfam family "Bacterial small subunit ribosomal RNA", at positions 524 to 776 of the family's 1533-position model. The record is from RNAcentral.
UACGUAGGGUGCGAGCGUUAAUCGGAAUUACUGGGCGUAAAGCGUGCGCAGGCGGCGGCUCAAGUCAGGUGUGAAAUCCCCGGGCUUAACCUGGGAAUUGCGCUUGAAACUACAAGGCUAGAGUGUAGCAGAGGGGGGUGGAAUUCCACGUGUAGCAGUGAAAUGCGUAGAGAUGUGGAGGAACACCGAUGGCGAAGGCAGCCCCCUGGGUUAACACUGACGCUCAGGCACGAAAGCGUGGGGAGCAAACAGG